Molecule: long non-coding RNA, 1003 nt
Organism: Dreissena polymorpha
Lineage: Eukaryota; Metazoa; Mollusca; Bivalvia; Myida; Dreissenidae
Exons: 3
Source: RefSeq, a predicted model, not a curated record
UCAUCAUAGCAUGUCUUUUAUAUUUAUGCUUUGUGUAAGUAAAAUGUUCAUAAAUCAUUCUUAUCUUCAAACUAAAAAUGUAUUGUGCUAUGCAAAAUGUCUGUAUGAUUUCAGUUGCCAGAGGUGAGUACCAUUACAGUUGAAAAGUUAGUUUUGUUUAGUUAAAGUUUUGGUUCACAGUUCUGUUUGUUAUUUGGCAAAAUUUACAUGUAUGCAUUGAGUCUUGAUUUCAGCUAGAUUGUGGACUGAAGAAGAUUGCCAGCAGAGGGAUUGGAUACAAAAUACAAAGUAAGUACUGAGUUUCUUACUAAAAGUUUUGAGUUGUAUUCAUCGUGUGUUAAUAUGCUAUGAUUGCUAUGAACAUGACUUUUGUAUUUCAGCGAAGACAACAUAGGUAAGUAAAAUUGUUAUCUGUUUCAUGUUUACUGUUACAGUUCAAUAUUGUGUUUAUAAAUUGUAAGUUGUACAAACACAUUCAAAAGUUUCUGAUCAUGCUUUCGAUUUCAUUUCAGCUUUACUGCUGGACGAGUGUUCUCUACUACUAGACGUGUCAGGUUUACUACCAGGCGAGCAGUGACAACAAGGCGCCUUUGUGGAAACAACACAACAAAAAACUCUACUGCAAGACGAGCAGUGACAGCAAGGCGCCUGAACAUGCAACACAAUACAAAAAAUGCCAAUUUGCAAACCUUGAUGUGGACACCGAGUAGUCAAUACAUACGUGUGGGGUACAGCUGCGACAAAACCGUGGGUCCAUCGCACCGAUAACUUGAACAUUGGCCCGCGUAUGGACAUCAGUGCAACUUUGUGAAUCCAUGUAACUUUGUGAAUCCAUGUAACAUUGCGAAUAUGUGUCGAUCGAAAAAUUUGAACAUUAUGCAAUGAAACGAACUCGGUGUUGCAAGUGGCAAGUGUUGACAGUGUGCAUGUUUAUGUUUAUGCUUUUACAUGAAAAAUAAAGGAGAUUGUUCUCCUACCUUUUUUUUCCUUGUUUUAUUGUGCU